Molecule: long non-coding RNA, 695 nt
Organism: Procambarus clarkii (red swamp crayfish)
Lineage: Eukaryota; Metazoa; Arthropoda; Malacostraca; Decapoda; Cambaridae
Source: RefSeq, a predicted model, not a curated record
ACGGCCAGAUAAACGUAAGGUUAUUCACCGAAAGUACGAGAACUUGAGGCUGAGGUAAACUCGAAACGACCCAAGGACCACCUGUCCCACUGGGUGUUGGGGCGUGUGUGGGAAGACUGUGCUAAGCCACUGAGUGUCACUUACGGGUCCAUAAUGGUCACUUUGCCUCGUUCUCACCGGCAGUUAGGGUCUGUUGUGCCACAAUAAAUAUACUAACUACUAAUACGACGUUAACUUUAGGGAAACAGUGUUAGAGGAUUAAGAGUGAGUGUAAAUACUGGGGUAAAGGGGUGUAUGAGAGGCAGCGACCAUGAGGAGGGUGUGAGGGAGGUGUUGAGGCGGGCAGGUGGGGCCCAGCUCCUCACUCUCCUCCUCGCCUUCACGCCAGUAACAUCGUCUGGCUGCUUCUCUUCAUAUAUUACGAUGCAGUGUCUACGGUCUUAAUUAAUGACCUUGGUGUCCCAACUAGCUGGAAUGACUAGCCAGUUUCUGCAGGCUCCUGGUUUUCAGAACUUGGAUGUGUCGGUUGCUCUUGGCAACAGUUUUCAGAGAUGCGGGUCGCCCACUACCUGAAUUAAACACUACACGCUGUAGUAGCGACGCCUUCACCCUGAAAGGUCCUGGCAGGGCCCCGACUUGAGCUGAGCAGCGCCGAUGAAACAUUGUUCCUGACCAGGCCCCCGAGUUACUGUGUU